CGGGGAUUGGCGCAGCCCGGUAGCGCGCACCGUUCGGGACGGUGAGGUCGGCGGUUCAAAUCCGCCAUCCCCGACCA
RNAcentral lists this transfer RNA (77 nucleotides) under Candidatus Saccharibacteria bacterium RIFCSPHIGHO2_12_FULL_47_16b. RNAcentral's name for it is "tRNA-Pro". It matches the Rfam family "tRNA". From Rfam's summary of the family: Transfer RNA (tRNA) molecules are approximately 80 nucleotides in length. Their secondary structure includes four short double-helical elements and three loops (D, anti-codon, and T loops). The record is from RNAcentral. Lineage: Bacteria; Candidatus Saccharimonadota. RNAcentral also lists the same sequence under 1 other name.